UACGUAGGGUGCGAGCGUUGUCCGGAAUUAUUGGGCGUAAAGGGCUCGUAGGCGGUUUGUCACGUCAGGAGUGAAAACUCGGGGCUUAACCCCGAGCCUGCUUCUGAUACGGGCAGACUAGAGGUAUGCAGGGGAGAACGGAAUUCCUGGUGUAGCGGUGAAAUGCGCAGAUAUCAGGAGGAACACCGGUGGCGAAGGCGGUUCUCUGGGCAUUACCUGACGCUGAAACACGAAAGCGUGGGUAGCGAAUGGG
RNAcentral lists this ribosomal RNA (253 nucleotides) under uncultured bacterium. RNAcentral's name for it is "partial 16S ribosomal RNA". It matches the Rfam family "Bacterial small subunit ribosomal RNA", at positions 524 to 776 of the family's 1533-position model. The record is from RNAcentral.